This 673-nucleotide ribosomal RNA is filed under the name uncultured bacterium. RNAcentral's name for it is "bacterial SSU rRNA". It matches the Rfam family "Bacterial small subunit ribosomal RNA", at positions 838 to 1502 of the family's 1533-position model. The record is from RNAcentral.
GUUUGGUGUCGCAGCUAACGCGAUAAGUGAUCCGCCUGGGGACUACGGUCGCAAGAUUAAAACUCAAAGGAAUUGACGGGGGUCCGCACAAGCGGUGGAACAUGUGGUUUAAUUCGACAAUACGCGAGGAACCUUACCUAGGCUUGACAUGCUUCCGACAGUCAUAGAAAUAUGAUCUUCCGGGUUUCGGCUCGGACGGUUGCACAGGUGCUGCAUGGUUGUCGUCAGCUCGUGUCGUGAGAUGUUUGGUUAAGUCCUGUAACGAGCGCAACUCCUACUGCCAGUUGCUACUUUUUUUAAAGGCACUCUGGCGGAACUGCCUGGGAAACCAGGAGGAAGGUGGGAAUGACGUCAAAUCAUCAUGGUCCUUAUGCCUAGGGCUACACACGUGUUACAAUGGCCAGUACAACGGGUUGCGAACUCGCAAGAGUAAGCUAAUCCCUGAAAGCUGGUCUAAGUUCGGAUUGAGGUCUGCAAUUCGACCUCAUGAAGUUGAAAUCGCUAGUAAUCGCGCAUCAGCAACGGCGCGGUGAAUACGUUCUCGGGCCUUGUACACACCGCCCGUCACACCACGAAAGUUCUUUGUACCCGAAGUUGCCUUAGCCAACCUGUAAAGGAGGCGGGUACCUAAGGUAUGGGGGAUGAUUGGGGUAAAGUCGUAACAAGGUAGCCG